This 715-nucleotide ribosomal RNA is filed under the name Marinobacter alkaliphilus. RNAcentral describes it as "bacterial SSU rRNA". It matches the Rfam family "Bacterial small subunit ribosomal RNA", at positions 62 to 768 of the family's 1533-position model. Lineage: Bacteria; Pseudomonadati; Pseudomonadota; Gammaproteobacteria; Pseudomonadales; Marinobacteraceae. The record is from RNAcentral.
UCGAGCGGUAACAGGGGGUGCUUGCACCCCGCUGACGAGCGGCGGACGGGUGAGUAAUGCUUAGGAAUCUGCCCAGUAGUGGGGGAUAGCCCGGGGAAACCCGGAUUAAUACCGCAUACGUCCUACGGGAGAAAGCAGGGGAUCUUCGGACCUUGCGCUAUUGGAUGAGCCUAAGUCGGAUUAGCUAGUUGGUGGGGUAAAGGCCUACCAAGGCGACGAUCCGUAGCUGGUCUGAGAGGAUGAUCAGCCACAUCGGGACUGAGACACGGCCCGAACUCCUACGGGAGGCAGCAGUGGGGAAUAUUGGACAAUGGGGGCAACCCUGAUCCGGCCAUGCCGCGUGUGUGAAGAAGGCUUUCGGGUUGUAAAGCACUUUCAGCGAGGAGGAAGGCCUUAAAGUUAAUACCUUUGAGGAUUGACGUUACUCGCAGAAGAAGCACCGGCUAACUCCGUGCCAGCAGCCGCGGUAAUACGGAGGGUGCAGGCGUUAAUCGGAAUUACUGGGCGUAAAGCGCGCGUAGGUGGUUAGGUAAGCGAGAUGUGAAAGCCCCGGGCUUAACCUGGGAACGGCAUUUCGAACUGUCUGACUAGAGUGUGGUAGAGGGUAGUGGAAUUUCCUGUGUAGCGGUGAGAUGCGUAGAUAUAGGAAGGAACACGAGUGGCGAAGGCGGCUACCUGGACCAGCACUGACACUGAGGUGCGAAAGCGUGGGGAG